CAUCCAGCAGAAGCAUGAGGAGCGGACGGAGCCGGCGCUGCGGGCAGUUGGUUGCAAUACCAAGAUGUUGUUGCAGAAGGUGAAGGAAAUGGAAUCUGCUGUGGAAAGGUUGGCAGAUGAACAGAAGCAGCUACUGACUGCACUGGCGCUGCUGGAGGAGCAGCUCAGACAAACACGGCUGGAGCUGCAGGCUGCACGUGCGGCAAACAAGGACAUGGACUCCAGCAUGCAAGC
Long non-coding RNA from Amblyraja radiata (thorny skate), 234 nucleotides. RefSeq lists it as uncharacterized. Lineage: Eukaryota; Metazoa; Chordata; Chondrichthyes; Rajiformes; Rajidae. The transcript is spliced from 3 exons. The record is from RefSeq and is a predicted model, not a curated record.